AUUGAACGCUGGCGGCAGGCUUAACACAUGCAAGUCGAGCGGUAACAUUUCAAGCUUGCUUGAAGAUGACGAGCGGCGGACGGGUGAGUAAUGCUUGGGAAUAUGCCUUAUGGUGGGGGACAACAGUUGGAAACGACUGCUAAUACCGCAUAAUGUCUACGGACCAAAGGGGGGGAUCUUCGGACCUCUCGCCAUUUGAUUAGCCCAAGUGAGAUUAGCUAGUUGGUGAGGUAAUGGCUCACCAAGGCGACGAUCUCUAGCUGGUUUGAGAGGAUGAUCAGCCACACUGGGACUGAGACACGGCCCAGACUCCUACGGGAGGCAGCAGUGGGGAAUAUUGCACAAUGGGCGCAAGCCUGAUGCAGCCAUGCCGCGUGUGUGAAGAAGGCCUUCGGGUUGUAAAGCACUUUCAGUAAGGAGGAAAGGGAUGUAGUUAAUAACUGCAUUCUGUGACGUUACUUACAGAAGAAGCACCGGCUAACUUCGUGCCAGCAGCCGCGGUAAUACGAGGGGUGCAAGCGUUAAUCGGAAUUACUGGGCGUAAAGCGUUCGUAGGCGGUUGAUUAAGCAAGAUGUGAAAGCCCAGGGCUCAACCUUGGAACUGCAUUUUGAACUGGUCAACUAGAGUACUGUAGAGGGUGGUGGAAUUUCCAGUGUAGCGGUGAAAUGCGUAGAGAUUGGAAGGAACAUCAGUGGCGAAGGCGGCCACCUGGACAGAUACUGACGCUGAGGAACGAAAGCGUGGGGAGGCGAACAGGAUUAGAUACCCUGGUAGUCCACGCCGUAACGAUUGUCAACUAGCCGUUGGUGUCCUAGAAACGUGAGUGGGCCAGCUACG
RNAcentral lists this ribosomal RNA (838 nucleotides) under uncultured bacterium. RNAcentral describes it as "bacterial SSU rRNA". It matches the Rfam family "Bacterial small subunit ribosomal RNA", at positions 28 to 856 of the family's 1533-position model. The record is from RNAcentral.